RNAcentral lists this ribosomal RNA (253 nucleotides) under uncultured bacterium. RNAcentral's name for it is "partial 16S ribosomal RNA". It matches the Rfam family "Bacterial small subunit ribosomal RNA", at positions 524 to 776 of the family's 1533-position model. The record is from RNAcentral.
UACGAAGGGGGCUAGCGUUGCUCGAAAUUACUGGGCGUAAAGGGCGCGUAGGCGGCACUGUUAGUCAGGCGUGAAAUUCCUGGGCUCAACCCGGGGACUGCGCUUGAUACGGCAGAGCUUGAGGAUGGAAGAGGGUCGCGGAAUUCCCAGUGUAGAGGUGAAAUUCGUAGAUAUUGGGAGGAACACCAGUGGCGAAGGCGGCUCACUGGACCGGACCUGACGCUGAGGCGCGAAAGCGUGGGGAGCAAACAGG